RNAcentral lists this long non-coding RNA (1470 nucleotides) under Equus caballus (horse). RNAcentral describes it as "lncRNA (ENSECAG00000047234.1)". The record is from RNAcentral. Lineage: Eukaryota; Metazoa; Chordata; Mammalia; Perissodactyla; Equidae.
GGUUAGUGGCGUGCUCAGAGGUAACCAGAACAGGAAGUAGUUACAUCUUCUUGUAGCAGACCAUGUGGGCAAUCAGAAUAGCAACAAAUAAAAUGUGUGGCUUCUUUUUGUUGUACAUCUGUUCUUUCAUCUCUAUUUACUUUGAAAAAGCUGCUUCUUCAAUAAAACGACCUUAUGAUGAGUUUACUAGAGUUCCAUAAUAUUAUGAUGCAAAUAUUUCUUUACUGCUACAGUUUUAGUAAGCAGAGGUAAAAUGCAAUGAUUCUAAGUUACUAUUUGCGUUUCCUUUUCUUUUGAUCUCUAGAAAUGUAGGUGGGAGUUGGUCAGAACCUAAAGGACUCAAAACAGUAUUUGGAGGGCUUACUUUGAUUUAUUCAUUUUUUUGGUCAUUCAUUUUUAAAAAUCAAAUAACCUCUCGUUAAAGAAACUCUUUUUCUACUGUUUGUAACUCCUGAGAGGUAGUAGGGAGUAGAUUAUUACUGCAGACUUUGGAUAAUUUUUUGGGUUCGAAUCCUAUACCACCGUUAUGUAACCAUUUUAAGCCUUGGUUUCUUAAAUAGAAUGGAGAUUGCCUACCUUUACUGAGUUCGCAAUUAUAUAAAACUGAUAAUUUUGAAACGAGUUUGAUAGUCUAAUAACGUACAGCAAUCUGUUAGCUAACAGUCAUUCACUUGCUCUAGGGUGGCACGGAGGCAGAACCUGACUUGGAUUUCAGAGAGGUUCUCCUUCUUAUUCACUACUGUGCUUCGGUGCCUCCCUCUCCUCCCUGUGCUUCUGAUUCCCCAUCCAUAAAAUGGAAAAAAUAGUGUGUGCCUUACAGGAUCGUUGGAGUAUUAAUGCAACAAUUGUCAGAGUAUCAUGCAGGAUCUGUUCUUGACAUGGAAUUCAAGGUCACUGCCCCUAAAGGCUUGUAUCUUCGAGAGAGAAAGAUACUUCAAUGGAUGGUGGCAACAUCUCUGGAGUUUUGAGGACAAGUGAGAUUUGGCCAGAUGAAAGUUCUAUUUGUGAAAAUCAGAAAUAUGAAAAGAUGCGCUGUUUAAGAGGACCACUUGGAGUAUCAAAGCAUGAGGUUAACAAGGUUGGCAGCAGCCCUGUGGUGAUGGGUCCAUGUGCUGCGCUCUGAAGCUUCAACUUUGUCCUGAAAGCUGCGAAGGAUUUAAACCAGAGUAAGAAGAUCAAAUUUGUGUUUUAAAAUAAUUACUCUGGCAUCAGUUCAGUGUUUUUACACCGAAGACCAGUGAGGAGAAGAUUGUCCAGCGUAUACUAUUUCUGUUGAGAAGUCAGCUGUCAGUCUGAUUGUUGCACCCUUGAAGGGUGGGAAAAGGAAAUUGAGAACUCUCUUAAUUUAAAUGACAUCUCACCUGGUGAAGAAUUUGAAACUUGGAGUGCAAAAGGAUGAGGGAAAAGAAAAGAAUAGAUGUUAUUGGUGUGAAGUAAACCAAGACAGUUCUUUUGUUGGGAAGAUACAAA